UUAUGACUCAUGCUGUGUAGGGCGUCUCGUAUUUUUAUCAGAGCGAUGUCAUUUUUCACAGUUUUGGUCGCUCAGCUUUCACGGGCAGUUUCCCUUCCCAAGCUCCAGAGGUUCACAGUGAAAACUGCGAACGCUAUCUUCACAAACAGCGACAGACGGGCCAAUCGGGGCGGGGACGUCACAAACGCGCUCGAGUCAUGCGGAGCCGCCGCCACGGAGGCGCUCGGCUCCCUCCAGUGGACACGCAGCGGUACUGCAGUCGGGAGUCGCUGGAAGAUUAUUUGCUGAAUUCCUUACCGAUGCGGCUAUCUCGUGGAGAGAAAGUGGAACGGUUACGUCAUGUCCUAAACAAUCUGAUUGGAUAAAAGACAAGUCACAAAUUAAAUGACUUCUGAUUGGCGAACGCAGUUAGCGAAUCAAAAGUUAGAAAUGCGUUACCUAAUUUGUAUAGCCCCUAUAGCUGUCCAAGGUGCGCACCUGUUUAAAAAUAUACAUUUAUUAUUAAUAAAACAUUUUUUUAGUACACGUGUCCACGUCAGUAUUUUAAUAAUAUUAUAUUUUCAUGCUUUUAGUGAAGAAUUGUUUUACUAUCAGUCAUAUUUUAAAACGGGCAGUUUCGAAAUAACCAAAGUAAACAACGAUUCUAAACCGGAACGUGCCUGAAGGAAUCAACUGUAGUUCUCUUUUAUAGCGGUUUAAAAUGUAUCUAAAAGUAUAUACGGGUGUUUGCAAUAAUUUAAUCUCAGACGUAGAAAUAUAACCAAGAUUCACGACGACCAUUGUAUUGAUAGAGCAGUUGUUUAAAUAAAAGAGCAGCGUCAGUUUUGGAAAUAUCACAUUUUAUAUUUGUGUCAGUUUUUAGUUAAGUAAAUUGGAAAAUUACAAGCGGUGUGUAUUUCAGUAUGCUAACGUGACGUUUUUCAGCAGGUUUCAUUUGAUUUUAUGAAGCAGAAUUAGUUAACACUCAAAUCAACCCCUCGACAGCAGUUCUACUAAAUGUCCACACGAGGGCAGCAUUGGAUAGGAAAUGAAAGCUAAAGCCUCGUCUGUCUCCCUGAAGUUCGCUACCAAUUGUAAAGAGCAGAGGACAGCUCAGCCGGAGGCGUGUGUCUGUGUGAAACGACUUUAUUUCAUGUGAUAAGUUUGUGGAAGAAGGACGCCAUGUGAGGAGGCGUUUGCUCUUGUUUUACACAAACUACGAGGGACAGCGCUCGUUAAACCAGGUCUGUGAGGAUGAGAAGGUCUCCACAGUCUGGAGUCUGGUCUCUGACAGGCUCAACAUACCUGUCAAUCAACAGGGACUCCUCUACAAAGGCAAGGCGCUGGCAGGUAGGCUGAACAGCACAGCACAGCACAGCACAGCUCACCCCUCCUCUCACCCCUCGCCUCACCCCGGGUCAGUGUGGCACAGCCUGCCUGCUCUUCUGAACAAACACUUCAGCCCUGCCGACGCAGUGAGAGUUUGGAGCAGCUACACGAGGAUUACGAGCGGAGGCUGCGCUUGUUGAGCCUGGAUGAUAUGGAGCGGCUGGCGACUCACAUGCUUCACCCUGAGGCUGUGGAGUGCAUGGAGCUGUCCUUCCUGGAAUGAGGAAUAAUGCUGCUGCCCUCUCCCCUCCCCCCUCUCCUCUCCACCUCUCCCCUCUCCUCGCCAAGGAGUGGAGGUGAGGAGAGGGAGGAGAGAGAGGAACCUGCUACUGAGGGAGCUGCAGCUCUGAGGAGAGAGAGGGAGGAGGGAGAGGAACCUGCUACUGAGGGAGCUGCAGCUCAGAGGAGAGGAGAGAGAGGAACCUGCUACUGAGGGAGCUGCAGCUCUGAGGAGAGGAGAGAGAGAGAUUAGAGAGAGGAACCUGCUACUGAGGGAGCUGCAGCUUUGAGGGGAGGAGAGAGAGGAACCUGCUACUGAGGGAGCUGCAGCUCUGAGGAGAGGAGAGAGAGGAACCUGCUACUGAGGGAGCUGCAGCUCUGAGGAGAGAGAGGGAGGAGAGAGAGGAACCUGCUACUGAGGGAGCUGCAGCUCUGAGGAGAGAGAGGGAGGAGGGAGAGGAACCUGCUACUGAGGGAGCUGCAGCUCUGAGGAGAGGAGAGAGAGGAACCUGCAGCUCUGAGGAGAUCAAAUCUUUCUUCAGGUGUUGUUAUUUUGAUAUAGUUUUGAGGUUGAAUAUUUCAGUCCAGGUUUGAAGCACUCACUCUUCAUUACUGAUAUUUAAAUCCAGAAGAAACACAAAAUAAAUAAAAAUCUGUGUUGAA
Molecule: long non-coding RNA, 2250 nt
Organism: Acipenser ruthenus (sterlet)
Lineage: Eukaryota; Metazoa; Chordata; Actinopteri; Acipenseriformes; Acipenseridae
Exons: 3
Source: RefSeq, a predicted model, not a curated record